CCUACGGGUGGCAGCAGUGGGGGAUAUUGCACAAUGGGGGAAACCCUGAUGCAGCGACGCCGCGUGUGGGAAGACGGUCUUCUGGAUUGUAAACCACUGUCCCCAGGGACGAAAAUGCCGUUACCUGGGGCUGCAGCUCCGGCUCACUACGUGCCAGCAGCCGCGGUCAUACGUAGGGAGCAAGCGUUUUCCGGAAUUACUGGGUGUAAAGGGAGCGUAGGCGGGGAUGCAAGUUGGGUGUAAAAACUAUCGGCUCAACCGAUAGUCGCAAUCAAAACUGCAUCUCUUGAGUGAAGUAGAGGCAGGCGGAAUGCCUGGUGUAGCGGUGAAAUGCGUAGAUAUUAGGAGGAACACCAGUGGCGAAGGCGGCCUGCUGGGGUGUGACUGACGCUGAGGCUCGAAAGUGUGGGGAGCAAACAGGAUUAGAUACCCCGGUAGUC
Molecule: ribosomal RNA, 440 nt
Filed under: uncultured bacterium
Lineage: Bacteria
Description: partial 16S ribosomal RNA
Rfam family: Bacterial small subunit ribosomal RNA
Source: RNAcentral